GUGCUUGCUUUGGCAGCAUGUACACUAAAACUGGAACCAUACAGAGAAGAUUAGUAUUGCCCCAGUGUAAAUUCUUGAUGCAUUCUAUACUUUU
This 94-nucleotide small nuclear RNA is filed under the name Peromyscus maniculatus bairdii (prairie deer mouse). Lineage: Eukaryota; Metazoa; Chordata; Mammalia; Rodentia; Cricetidae. The record is from RNAcentral.